This 127-nucleotide non-coding RNA is filed under the name Lentzea albidocapillata. Lineage: Bacteria; Bacillati; Actinomycetota; Actinomycetes; Pseudonocardiales; Pseudonocardiaceae. The record is from RNAcentral.
UUCUGUUUCCGCAGGUAGGGUCGCAUCAGUCGUGCGUGGGGGAAGUCCGGUCGAAGUCCGGCGCUGACCCGCAACGGUAGGCCUCCUCGUGAGGACGAGCCCGAAUACCCGCACACGGCCGGCCUCU